UACGUAGGGUCCGAGCGUUGUCCGGAAUUAUUGGGCGUAAAGGGCUCGUAGGCGGUUUGUCGCGUCGGGAGUGAAAACUCAGGGCUUAACCCUGAGCCUGCUUCCGAUACGGGCAGACUAGAGGUAUGCAGGGGAGAACGGAAUUCCUGGUGUAGCGGUGAAAUGCGCAGAUAUCAGGAGGAACACCGGUGGCGAAGGCGGGUCUCUGGGCAACAACUGACGCUGAGGAGCGAAAGCGUGGGGAGCGAACAGG
RNAcentral lists this ribosomal RNA (253 nucleotides) under uncultured bacterium. RNAcentral describes it as "partial 16S ribosomal RNA". It matches the Rfam family "Bacterial small subunit ribosomal RNA", at positions 524 to 776 of the family's 1533-position model. The record is from RNAcentral.